UCAGUGUAUAUUUUUGUACCUGAGAUAAGACUCUGGAGGUCAAGCGGAGUUAAUGAUUGAAUAUGUCACGUUGCAGCAUGAACGCGCAUCACGUUGUUUGCUUAUCAUUCCUACACUUCAAGAAAAUGCAAAUAUAGAAAGAGGUUAUGUGACCCCAGGUGUACAACCUCCUGAAUGCUGAAGCGGGCCAUCCUUCACUGCAUGAUCCCUAUUGUACUAGACUGCCACUCUGCAGAGAGGGGGCGCUGUACCAGGGCUCUGCACAUAACAGGCACAUAUGACUACCGUAUCAUCAAAAACCUCCACAUCACACAUGUGGUCAGUGCCACAGCUGAAAUCUCAGAUGCUUUCCCGGGUGUUUUAAGCUAUCUUUGGCUACGGCUAAGUGAUGACGCACAGCAGGAUCUUCAGCAGACCUUUCCAGAAGCUUCUCAGUUCAUUGCUGAGGCUUUGCGGCGGACACCAGAAAAUAAUUUGACAGACUGAAGAAAAGCUUUGUUCAUCAUAUGAUGACUUAAACACAAACAUCCAUUAAUCUGACACAAAUGGACGUCUGUGGAUGGCCUUAUUCCAAUAAGAAUGGAAAACGUAAAAUAGAAUGUGUCAGGGAAUACUAGUGAAUAUAUUUUAUCAUAAGCCAAAGAAAGAAGACAAAUAUCAUUAUACAAAUGCUAUUUUUCAUAUUUGUUCUAAACUAGCAAGAUUAAGGUUCAAGUAGGAGGAGGGGGUAAAAAGCAAAAAAGUAAUUGUUUUUGAUGUGAUUUCACUGUUUGAAUGGGUACAAAAAGGAUGCCUUUUUUAAUUCUAGGAUGAGGGACUAAAGGUGACGAAAUGUAUUUGUGUCCAGAUUAGGUUUGUAAUGAUAUGAAUGUUUUGUUUUUAAGCUUCUUCCAAUAUAGGAGAGAGAUCUAUUGACAAAAAGGCAAUAAAGUCAGUAAAAAACAAGUUUGAAUCAGUGGAGAAAACACAAACAGCACAGAACAUGCACAGCUGCCCUUUUUCUGCCCUUAAAGAUUUACACUGAGGAAGAAAAGUUUGGAAUCUCACAGGAGCACACCAAAUUCAUUUUAGUAGAAGAGCCAGAUGUUUGGCUAGUGUUGCGGUGACAG
This is a long non-coding RNA of Carassius carassius (crucian carp), 1109 nucleotides long. RefSeq lists it as uncharacterized. NCBI's taxonomy places the organism in Eukaryota, Metazoa, Chordata, Actinopteri, Cypriniformes, Cyprinidae. The record is from RefSeq and is a predicted model, not a curated record. The transcript has 3 exons.